Long non-coding RNA from Orbicella faveolata, 1645 nucleotides. The record is from RefSeq and is a predicted model, not a curated record. NCBI's taxonomy places the organism in Eukaryota, Metazoa, Cnidaria, Anthozoa, Scleractinia, Merulinidae.
ACAAACAACAAUUUGCCUGGGGGGUUUUUAUUCUUCUUUUUUUUUCAAGCGAUGCGUGGCCGAUAUAGGGUUACGGUUCAAUGGCUUCUCGUCAUGUUCCAUAUAUAAGUGUUUUGCGCGUCACUGUAAUUUCACAAUCAACUUCCCUUCGCGAUCACAGUGUCGUGUUUAGAAAGAUAUCACGCGUUUGUCGACUUAGCACUUCGCAGUGAUGCCUCCACACGUAAUGUUUACCGUUUGUUUGGUGGGAUGUAGGGUUAAGAAUCUUCGAAAGGAAGCCCUUCGAAGACGCCUAGAAGAUACCAAAGGCAUAGGAGAGGAAAAAACUGUAAGUGAUUCUUGUUGGUAAUGCAUGUCUUUUCCCAUGAGCUCUUUGGAUUGAAGGAUUAAGGAAGAACUAGGCGUUGGUCAUAUUCGAGUCCUAGAGAGCUGUUGGAUGUUUAUUUUUCAAUACGAUGAUGCAUUGGCUUGAAAAUUAAGCUUUCAAUGUCUGAUUAGAGUUGGAGACGAGUUUAGUCCACGAGUGUGCAUUUUCACACGAAUCAACUUAACCCGGCAACUGUGAAAACAAAUUGAGUCAAUGGAAAGUAUGUUAGCACGUUUUGGGGCGGUCCAUGGAACACAAAGGCUGUUUUGGGGUUGUUGUGUUCUCUUGCCCUUGUUUAUAAAUAGCAAACGCUUGUGAAAUUGCCGCACACAAAAAAAAUGAGACUGAAAGCAAAGUAUGUUUUCACGUUUUGGGGAGGUCCAUGGAGUGCAAAGGCUCCUUUAGGGUUGUUGUUUUCGGUUGCCCUUAAAUAGCAGUCGACUGUGAAUUUGCCGUGGGAAAGAAGGCGCUGUAUUGGGCGGUUUUAAUGCAAAUGAUUUGUUUCACCGACUUAAAACAAUCCCUGAUUAAAAGUUGAAGCUACGGGUCGCUACUCAUUUUAUGUUGAAAGCUAGCGCGUGAGCCAUAAUCAUAACACAUGUCUCUAUAUUUUACGAGCUUGUCUGUCUGUAGCUCUUUCAAUUAACGGAGUCAUUGUAAAUUGGACUCUUUGGCUUAUUUUCAAUUAGUGGUGUGAGGUCAUAGUGCUAAAAUACCAUUUACUAAAUUAGUUUUUUUCGCUGCCGCCUUCCAGUUGUAAACAGGAUAUAACUACAGGCUUGAAGAACGUUCAUAAAUACUCUGUGACCCUCAAUUUAUAUUUUAGAGACUAUGGUAGUAGUGUUCGAUCGCUUUCCGGGAUUUUAUGCAAAGACAGGCAUAAAAACACCUGGAACGUGACUGUCAACACGUACAGGGGAAGUGGAAAAAUAUAGACUGACACUGUCUGAGAGACAUUGUCUGAAAAAUUCAAUUGGGGAAAAGUAGCUCUAAUUGAUUUUUACCGCUUUAUGUACGUUUGAAUGCUAACAUGUAAGACGGCUGGUUACAUUUAUCAAUUCUAAUCUUUUAUGUUCUUUUCUUACUUCCAGGGCCAAAACAGAGCAGUUACAGGAUCGGAACACGCUCAGAGGGAUGCCGAGGAAACUGAAAAGGUGAAAAUGGACAGUAAACGUCAAGCAAACAGUGAUUCGUCAAAGGAUGCAAACCCUCAUGGUCACAAUCGCCAAAACGCGCCCUAACCGCGGCUGAACGAUUCUGCACACGCUGUUGUGCUAA